Molecule: RNA transcript, 2223 nt
Organism: Erigeron canadensis
Lineage: Eukaryota; Viridiplantae; Streptophyta; Magnoliopsida; Asterales; Asteraceae
Gene name: protein EI24 homolog
Exons: 12
Source: RefSeq, a predicted model, not a curated record
UGCUGCUGAAGGAGGGUAGGGAGGAAAGAAACCAAUUGACGUCUUGUUUUUAUUUUGUCAAAGAAGAAGAAGACCAAAUGGAAAACAUGGGGCCUUUGAUAUCAAGUUACCGUACUAAACUGAAACAGACAUCGAUGUUAUGGAUUUUAGGUUUCCGAGAAGCUUGCUGUCUUCACAGAGUAGUCAUCUACUGUCUCAGGUCAAAGCAACUGAUGAUCCGAACUGGCCAGUGCUUUCUCUUAAAUGGCUUCAUCUUUUUAGGAAGUAUUUUUAUUCUAAGAUCUGUAGUCAUUCCAGCGCUGCACUGGAUAUUACCAUCUACAACUGUGGAAGGUUAUGAAGAGACAUGUUCAUCGGAGAUGCCUAUAAGACUGUAUGCCCUCUUACGACUCGGACUUUUACAACUUAUUUAUGCUCUAUGGUUCUACCCUUUAUACAUCUUCAGCUUCAUUUUAAGCACUAUCUGGUACAAUGAUAUUGCUCAGUUUGGUCUUAUGGUGACCGGGAAAAAUGGACCAAAGAAUUCAACUCUAUCUAGCCAAAAGGAGCCAUCAACUUCUCAAAAGGCAACAAAUGUUGACAAACCAACUGACCUCGGCCGGGUUAUGAUAGGAAUAGCGGAACAGGGCUAUUCAGUCCUCUUGUUGAGCUUUUUCUUCCUGGAGGUCUACCUCACAGGUUUUGUACCAUAUGUUGGGAAGUUACUCAAUUUUGUACUUCUUUCGUGGAUGUAUGCCUAUUAUUGCUUUGAGUAUAAAUGGAACUUCUCUGGCCUGAGUCUGGAUAAAAGGCUUGACUUUUUCGAGACUAACUGGGCAUUCUUUGCUGGUUUUGGAUCUCCUUGUGUUUUGGCUAUAUUCUUCUUUUCUCCUUUGGUGAGUUACGGGGUAAUGGCUGUACUCUUUCCACUGUUUGUUUUGACUGCAGCAGGCUCAGAUGCUGAGAGUGUCGUUAACUCUCAAAAAGAAAAUUGGGGAGGUGAAGAAUUAGGAAAACUUCCUAUAUUUUUUGUUGCAGAUAAGCUACUGAUGCGAAUCUUGUCUCUUCUCCCUAUGGAAUCUCAUGCUCAAACAUCUGAGAAGAAAUCACUCUGAGACUAACCACUGAUUCCAAAGACUUCAGAAUUCUGAGUGUGCCACCGUCUCUACAAAGGUCUUCUCAACUGGUGGCCUCGAGGCUUAAUGUGUAGAGUUUUUUCCGGAAGAAGGCCCUUCUUUGGUAGUUGAUGAAACGCCAGCAUUUGUGUUCGUCUCUUCUUCAUGUUUUCGGCAUCCUCGUAAGCUUGAUGCAGUUUCCUUUUCACAGCUUCGAGUUUUUCUUCAGUCGUCUUUUCAAUCCUUUUCGGCAUCCUUGCUGCUGCAUCUAUUAUUUGUUUACUUUGUUGAUGAUGAGGAAUCACUAAACUCUCUGUACUCUUUAUACUAUGUGAAGCGAUCCCCGAUUGAGUUUUUGCAACCAUAUUCACUACUGGUUUCAAAACUGCAGGCAACACUACUUUCUUGACCACUACAUCCACGGUUUGAUUGUUGGCUCGUUGUGUGAUGGUUCGGUUUUGUUUUUCCAUGGGUUGCUCUAAUCUCUUUAUUUUGUCUUGAAUCAACAAUUCCUUUGAAUACAUAUCCUUACUGAUCUUCUCUUGAUCGAUGAUCACUUGACCCUUUGCAGCCUUGUUUUCUUCAUCUGAUAAAGUCUGGUGCACAACACAACUUGCAUCAUUAUUAUUCUUGAGCCAUUCUUCCACCAUAUCUUUCCAUUCUUUCAAGAGUCUACUCGCGACCUGACCAACUUCUUUGGAUGCAUGUUUCCGAAGAACGCUAACUGUCUUUCCUAUCCCAGUCACCUCCAGAGUGUUCACACUUAACCCCAUGUAUCGAAGCUUGGUUAACAAGUCACAGAUGAUUGCCACCGAUUCAGAUUCGCCUUCAAGAACCUCUUUGAUCCUGAAAACCUCAGCAACCCCUUGACGAUAAACAAUACGAAUAGUCGGUCUUUUAGCCUUUGGCAGAUCACAAGCCGUCUUUGAAGCCUUUGGGAUACUUUGUUUUUGCGAAUCAUCUUCUUGGGUGUUUUUGUUACACGAAUAGAGAGUUUCGAUUAUUUUGUCUUUGUUAUUGCGAAAUUCGUCUGGGUAGUCAGUAGCAGCCACCGUGAUGGCUUUCUUGAUAAACUCAAAUAUAUCGACAUUAUUCGCAUUCCCUAAGUAUUCUUCCAUCUUCGAAACAA